UACAGAGGUCUCAAGCGUUGUUCGGAUUCAUUGGGCGUAAAGGGCGCGUAGGCGGACAGUUUAGUCAGAGGUGAAAGCCCAGGGCUCAACCUUAGAAUUGCCUUUGAUACUGGCUGUCUUGAGUUCGGGAGAGGUGAGUGGAAUGCCGAGUGUAGAGGUGAAAUUCGUAGAUAUUCGGCGGAACACCAGUGGCGAAGGCGACUCACUGGCCCGAUACUGACGCUGAGGCGCGAAAGCGUGGGGAGCAAACAGG
RNAcentral lists this ribosomal RNA (253 nucleotides) under uncultured bacterium. RNAcentral describes it as "partial 16S ribosomal RNA". It matches the Rfam family "Bacterial small subunit ribosomal RNA", at positions 524 to 776 of the family's 1533-position model. The record is from RNAcentral.